GGGGUUGUGGCUCUGGUAGAGUACUCGCCUAGCAUGUGUGAGGCACUGGGUUCGAUCCUCAGCACCACA
This 69-nucleotide transfer RNA is filed under the name Marmota monax (woodchuck). RNAcentral's name for it is "tRNA.Ala". The record is from RNAcentral. Lineage: Eukaryota; Metazoa; Chordata; Mammalia; Rodentia; Sciuridae.